UACGUAGGGUGCGAGCGUUGUCCGGAAUUACUGGGCGUAAAGAGCUCGUAGGUGGUUUGUCACGUCGUAUGUGAAAUCCCGGGGCUUAACUCCGGGCGUGCAGGCGAUACGGGCAUAACUUGAGUACUGUAGGGGAGAGUGGAAUUCCUGGUGUAGCGGUGAAAGGCGUAGAGAUCUGGAGGAACACCGGUGGCGAAGGCGGGUCUCUGGGCAGUAACUGACGCUGAGGAGCGAAAGCGUGGGGAGCGAACAGG
RNAcentral lists this ribosomal RNA (254 nucleotides) under uncultured bacterium. RNAcentral describes it as "partial 16S ribosomal RNA". It matches the Rfam family "Bacterial small subunit ribosomal RNA", at positions 524 to 776 of the family's 1533-position model. The record is from RNAcentral.